UACAGAGGUCUCAAGCGUUGUUCGGAUUCAUUGGGCGUAAAGGGUGCGUAGGCGGCGCGGUAAGUCGGGUGUGAAAUUUCGAGGCUUAACUUCGAAACUGCAUUCGAUACUGCCGUGCUCGAGGACUGGAGAGGAGACUGGAAUUUACGGUGUAGCGGUGAAAUGCGUAGAUAUCAGGAGGAACACCGGUGGCGAAGGCGGCUCUCUGGGCCUUACCUGACGCUGAGGAGCGAAAGCGUGGGUAGCGAACAGG
RNAcentral lists this ribosomal RNA (253 nucleotides) under uncultured bacterium. RNAcentral's name for it is "partial 16S ribosomal RNA". It matches the Rfam family "Bacterial small subunit ribosomal RNA", at positions 524 to 776 of the family's 1533-position model. The record is from RNAcentral.